AAUAAGCUAAUUAAGAGCGUAAGGUGGAUGCCUUGGCUCUCAGAGGCGAUGAAGGACGUGAUAAGCUGCGAUAAGCUACGGGGAUUGGCACACACAAUUUGAUCCGUAGAUUUCCGAAUGGGGAAACCCACUAUAUUGAAGAUAUAGUAUCCGUUAAGGAAGCAAACCCAGGGAACUGAAACAUCUAAGUACCUGGAGGAAUAGAAAACAAAAGUGAUUCCGCUAGUAGUGGCGAGCGAACGCGGAACAGCCCAAACCAAAAUUGUUUCGGCAAUUUUGGGGUUGUAGGACCACGAUAUUGAAUGUUUGAUGAAUUAGAAUUCUUUGGAAAAAGAAACCAUAGAGGGUGAUAGUCCCGUAUAAGUAAAGAGAAUUAUUCAUAGUGGUAUCCUGAGUAGCGCGGGACACGUGUAAUCCUGUGUGAAUCUGGCGGGAUCAUCCGCUAAGGCUAAAUACU
Molecule: ribosomal RNA, 457 nt
Filed under: uncultured Flavobacteriaceae bacterium
Lineage: Bacteria; Pseudomonadati; Bacteroidota; Flavobacteriia; Flavobacteriales; Flavobacteriaceae
Description: bacterial LSU rRNA
Rfam family: Bacterial large subunit ribosomal RNA
Source: RNAcentral